CAGUCGCGCGGUAAUACGUAGGGUGCAAGCGUUAAUCGGAUUUACUGGGCGUAAAGCGUGCGUAGGCGGCUUUUUAAGUCGGAUGUGAAAUCCCUGAGCUUAACUUAGGAAUUGCAUUCGAUACUGGGAAGCUAGAGUAUGGGAGAGGAUGGUAGAAUUCCAGGUGUAGCGGUGAAAUGCGUAGAGAUCUGGAGGAAUACCGAUGGCGAAGGCAGCCAUCUGGCCUAAUACUGACGCUGAGGUACGAAAGCAUGGGGAGCAAACAGGAUUAGAUACCCCCGUAGUCCCUGUCUCUUAUACA
RNAcentral lists this ribosomal RNA (301 nucleotides) under uncultured bacterium. RNAcentral describes it as "partial 16S ribosomal RNA". It matches the Rfam family "Bacterial small subunit ribosomal RNA", at positions 509 to 808 of the family's 1533-position model. The record is from RNAcentral.